AUCAUUCUACAUUUUUACUAGCCCUGAAAGAAAUAUCAUAGAUGUGAUUGCCAAAGGACAAAAAAGAAUGAUUACCCAGCUAGCCACUGCCACUGUAUGUUGUGCCAUUAGCAGUAAAGCUAGACCAGGACUCAUCAACUACAUUUUUCCAAGGGCAAGAAUUUUUUUAGGCAAACACU
Long non-coding RNA from Etheostoma cragini (Arkansas darter), 179 nucleotides. RefSeq lists it as uncharacterized. The transcript is spliced from 2 exons. The record is from RefSeq and is a predicted model, not a curated record. Lineage: Eukaryota; Metazoa; Chordata; Actinopteri; Perciformes; Percidae.